This 253-nucleotide ribosomal RNA is filed under the name uncultured bacterium. Its description in RNAcentral is "partial 16S ribosomal RNA". It matches the Rfam family "Bacterial small subunit ribosomal RNA", at positions 524 to 776 of the family's 1533-position model. The record is from RNAcentral.
AACGUAGGGGGCAAGCGUUAUCCGGAUUUACUGGGUGUAAAGGGAGCGUAGACGGCGAUGCAAGCCAGAUGUGAAAGCCCGGGGCUCAACCCCGGGACUGCAUUUGGAACUGUAUAGCUAGAGUGUCGGAGAGGCAGGCGGAAUUCCUAGUGUAGCGGUGAAAUGCGUAGAUAUUAGGAGGAACACCAGUGGCGAAGGCGGCCUGCUGGACGAUGACUGACGUUGAGGCUCGAAAGCGUGGGGAGCAAACAGG